AUUGAACGCUGGCGGCGUGCCUAAUACAUGCAAGUCGAGCGAAUGGAUUAAGAGCUUGCUCUUAUGAAGUUAGCGGCGGACGGGUGAGUAACACGUGGGUAACCUGCCCAUAAGACUGGGAUAACUCCGGGAAACCGGGGCUAAUACCGGAUAACAUUUUGAACCGCAUGGUUCGAAAUUGAAAGGCGGCUUCGGCUGUCACUUAUGGAUGGACCCGCGUCGCAUUAGCUAGUUGGUGAGGUAACGGCUCACCAAGGCAACGAUGCGUAGCCGACCUGAGAGGGUGAUCGGCCAAACUGGGACUGAGACACGGCCCAGACUCCUACGGGAGGCAGCAGUAGGGAAUCUUCCGAAAUGGACGAAAGUCUGACGGAGCAACGCCGCGUGAGUGAUGAAGGCUUUCGGGUCGUAAAACUCUGUUGUUAGUGAAGAACAAGUGCUAGUUGAAUAAGCUGACACCUUGACGGUACCUAACCAGAAAGCCACGGCUAACUACGUGCCAGCCGCCGCGGUAA
This 515-nucleotide ribosomal RNA is filed under the name uncultured bacterium. RNAcentral describes it as "partial 16S ribosomal RNA". It matches the Rfam family "Bacterial small subunit ribosomal RNA", at positions 30 to 523 of the family's 1533-position model. The record is from RNAcentral.